Long non-coding RNA from Xenia sp. Carnegie-2017, 1684 nucleotides. RefSeq lists it as uncharacterized. Lineage: Eukaryota; Metazoa; Cnidaria; Anthozoa; Malacalcyonacea; Xeniidae. The record is from RefSeq and is a predicted model, not a curated record. The transcript has 2 exons.
CGGAUAAUGUACUUGAAAUUUGAGUAGUUUUACGUAAUUAUAAAGUUAAGUGCGUAAGUUUAAGUAGCGCGUUUGAGUAAGUGUAGGAUUGGCUAUUUCCUCUAUUGCUAAUACAUGAAUCUAGAUGAGUAAUGUACGCACGUUAUGUACGUCACUACAAGAUAUCAUGUAACUGAUGUAAGGUAUAAAUAAGAUUGAUGUUCCUAUAAAAUAUAUAGCAUAGGAAUUUUCAUCCUUUUAUGUUCUACUUCUACAAUUCGGUAUUUUUACGACACCUGUACAACAUGACUGAAUGCAUUGUGGAAUCACUAUUAUCCCGCUCAUUUGGAUUGAGACCUUUUUCCGAGAAACGAGAGAUCGUCGAAGGUGGCCUUCCAAUCCUGAGUUGCAAGGACUACAUACAACAUCCAAGCGAAGUGGUAAAGUCUUUAUUCGAAGUUUUCAGACGUCAAAUUACGACAAGUACAAAUGGCUGGCUGGCUCCUCAAAAUUGAAUAAGUUAUUUUGCUGGCAGUGUCUUUUGUUCAACUCAACAGACAAGACAGUCUGGUGCAAGAAGGGAUACGAUGAUUUGGCCAACCUGUGUAAUGCCGUCAACAGACACGAGAAAACGAAGACACACUUGUCCAGUUGCCUAAUGAAUGCCAGUUUUGGGCGUACACGCAUCGACAUGCAGCUAGACGAACAGGCCCGUCAACACAUCUCAGCUCACAACUUGAUGGUGCACAAGAGUAGAGAAGUACUUCGCCGUUUCAUUGAUGUUGUUUGCUUUCUUGGCAAACGGGAACUUUCUUUCAGAGGUCGGGUGGAGCUGGAGGAGUCUGCCAACAGGGGCAAUUACGUCGAAUUGAUAAAACUGCUAAGUGCAUAUGACCCCACACUACAAUAGAAAUGCACGCGUAGCCAUUUACUUAAAACGACUUUAUAUCACAAUACCACAUCUAAUACUUUUAAACUGUAAUUGUGAUAUAUACUCUAUAAAAGUUUUUGAAUUUUUUAGAUUUUUUCAAUACUGUUUCAGUCAUGACAGAUACAUUUUUUCGACAAAGUACUCCCAGAAAUCGCGGGAAAUGCGCUCCAGUAGCCUUCAAAAUCCAAAAAUUUUCUGGGGGAGCAUGCCCCCAGAACCCCUAGAUAGCUUCGCGGUAUGCCGGGAACCUCACCCCCAGCGCUUGCCUAUUAAAUUCGGUCACCGCACGCCACUGUUCGUUGGGAUUGUAUUCGAGUAAGGCAGAAUUAUAUUUGUUUUUGUCAAAAACACGUUUGAGAUAGUUUUUUUCCUUGUGUAGAGCGUCUGGUGAAUCACAUAUGAUUUUUGCACGUCUUGUUAAUUAUCUGAUUGUGGUGGCUUUGUGUGAUGUGGGUUGUAAGAGGAUUGGUACUAAUUGAUUUGCAAUAAACUGUUGUUGGUAGUUUUUGACUGUCACGUUUUACCAAACAGUCGAGAAAAGGAAGAAAUCCGUUUUCUUUGACCAGCAGAUGACUGAUACGAGCACGGGUUAACGACUUUCACAGACGAAUCAACUAUUACAUCGAGCAACAAGAACCAAGAUUGAACAAACUGAAAGAACUCAUACCAACGACAGUUUCGUUACGUAGAUGAGACAACCACAGCACUACAUGCAGACGAGAUUGAUUACUUUCACCCUCAAAUCAACGAACAUAACAGCUACAUAUAUUUAAC